CCUACGGGAGACAGCAGUCGGGAAUAUUGCGCAAUGGAGGAAACUCUGACGCAGUGACGCCGCGUGCAGGAAGCAGGUUUUCGGAGUGUAAACUGCUUUAGACAGGGAAGAAAAAAGACAGUACCGGUACAGUAAGCUACGGCCAACUAAGUGAGAGCAGCCGCGGUAGUACGUAGGGGCCAAGCGUUAUCCGGAUUUAUUGGGUGUAAAGGGUGCGUAGACGGGAAGUCAAGUUGGUUGUGAAACCCCUCGGCUUAACUGAGGAACUGCAACCAAAACUAACUUUCUUGAGUGCUGGAGAGGAAAGUGGAAUGCCUAGUGUAGCGGUGAAAUGCGUAGAUAUUAGGAGGAACACCAGUGGCGAAGGCGACUUUCUGGACAGUAACUGACGUUGAGGCACGAAAGUGUGGGGAGCAAACAGGAUUAGAUACCCGAGUAGUC
Molecule: ribosomal RNA, 441 nt
Filed under: uncultured bacterium
Lineage: Bacteria
Description: partial 16S ribosomal RNA
Rfam family: Bacterial small subunit ribosomal RNA
Source: RNAcentral